GAUGAACGCUGGCGGCGUGCCUAAUACAUGCAAGUCGAGCGAACAGACGAGGAGCUUGCUCCUCUGACGUUAGCGGCGGACGGGUGAGUAACACGUGGAUAACCUACCUAUAAGACUGGGAUAACUUCGGGAAACCGGAGCUAAUACCGGAUAAUAUAUUGAACCGCAUGGUUCAAUAGUGAAAGACGGUUUUGCUGUCACUUAUAGAUGGAUCCGCGCCGUAUUAGCUAGUUGGUAAGGUAACGGCUUACCAAGGCGACGAUGCGUAGCCGACCUGAGAGGGGGGUCGGCCACACUGGAACUGAGACACGGUCCAGACUCCUACGGGAGGCAGCAGUAGGGAAUCUGCCGCAAUAGGCGAAAGCCUGACGGAGCAACGCCGCGUGAGUGAUGAAGGUCUUCGGAUCGUAAAACUCUGUUAUUAGGGAAGAACAAAUGUGUAAGUAACUAUGCACGUCUUGACGGUACCUAAUCAGAAAGCCACGGCUAACUACGUG
This 497-nucleotide ribosomal RNA is filed under the name uncultured bacterium. RNAcentral's name for it is "partial 16S ribosomal RNA". It matches the Rfam family "Bacterial small subunit ribosomal RNA", at positions 28 to 507 of the family's 1533-position model. The record is from RNAcentral.